GGAACACUGGCGGGGGGCCGCACCAGAGCCUUACAGAAAGUUUCAUCCACCUCAUUGUCAUGGCCUUGGUCAAGCUGCACGCAGGCCACCAUUUGUGUGGCAGUGCCAAGGCCACAGCUGGCUGAGCACGGGCCAAGGGGCAGGACUUUCCAUCUGCAGGAAGAAAAGACCCCAAGGACAGUUAUUUGGGCUUCUGUGUGUAGGACUAUUGAAGGACCCUCAGCUUCUUCAACAAUGGUCUGCCUGGUCUCUGGUCAUGGGUCUCCACUAACAGCAUUGAGCUUCACUAUUGCUCUUCAUGUCUGUGUCGUCGAUUGGCCCACUGCUACUCUGGAACCCUUGGGAACCAAGGCAGCGGGAUGAGCCAGACCAAGACCACUUCAGGUGUGUAUGGCCUGUACCUUAUACCACUGGCAUCUGAUCCUGCAUAGCUGCGUCCUGUGCACUGACAGAUGGGCGUGGUUAACUUCUGCCCACUAGGAGCCAUAUCAAAUAGCCCUAAUUGUGACCAUUAACCUGAAGUUGACUGUGUGCCCUUUGAGGCAGAAUCCUGCCUGGCUGAGGGACUAGUUCCCUGCAAAGAAGAGAGACUGUGGACAGAUCAGUGCAGGUUACAGAGCGACCACACAACACCUCAGUGGUAACCAGAACCCACAUGUGCACGCACUUCCCAUGGAACAAACAAACAAACAACGAUUUAGAUGGGUGUGGGGGCACAUGCCUACUAUCCCACAACUUGAGAGGUGAAGGCCUGAGGUUCAAGAAUUCAAGGCUAUCUUUAGUUACAUAGAGAGUUUGGAGCUAGCCUGGGCUACAAGGCACUGUCUCAAAAAAAAAAAAAAGAAAAAAGAAAAGAAAAAAAGAAAAAGAAA
RNAcentral lists this long non-coding RNA (872 nucleotides) under Rattus norvegicus (Norway rat). RNAcentral describes it as "long non-coding RNA NONRATT019103". Lineage: Eukaryota; Metazoa; Chordata; Mammalia; Rodentia; Muridae. The record is from RNAcentral.